GGAAUUUUGGACAAUGGGCGCAAGCCUGAUCCAGCAAUGCCGCGUGAGUGAAGAAGGCCUUCGGGUUGUAAAGCUCUUUUGUCAGGGAAGAAACGGGCCUUUCUAAUACAGGGGCCUAAUGACGGUACCUGAAGAAUAAGCACCGGCUAACUACGUGCCAGCAGCCGCGGUAAUACGUAGGGUGCAAGCGUUAAUCGGAAUUACUGGGCGUAAAGGGUGCGCAGGCGGUUUUGUAAGACUGUCGUGAAAUCCCCGGGCUCAACCUGGGAAUGGCGAUGGUGACUGCAAGGCUAGAGUUUGGCAGAGGGGGGUAGAAUUCCACGUGUAGCAGUGAAAUGCGUAGAUAUGUGGAGGAACACCGAUGGCGAAGGCAGCCCCCUGGGUCAAAACUGACGCUCAUGCACGAAAGCGUGGGGAGCAAACAGGAUUAGAUACCCUGG
RNAcentral lists this ribosomal RNA (440 nucleotides) under uncultured Duganella sp. RNAcentral describes it as "bacterial SSU rRNA". It matches the Rfam family "Bacterial small subunit ribosomal RNA", at positions 358 to 790 of the family's 1533-position model. Lineage: Bacteria; Pseudomonadati; Pseudomonadota; Betaproteobacteria; Burkholderiales; Oxalobacteraceae. The record is from RNAcentral.